Molecule: long non-coding RNA, 441 nt
Organism: Manis javanica (Malayan pangolin)
Lineage: Eukaryota; Metazoa; Chordata; Mammalia; Pholidota; Manidae
Source: RefSeq, a predicted model, not a curated record
AUUUCAUUUUUUUCUAGGCUUACAAUUUUGAUGAUUUUUUCAUAGCAAGGCUAGUGUGUGGACUUUAAGGCCGGAGAACCCCAGGGCUUGGAGAGUUCUGCCUGGCACAGCUUUGAGAAUGAGGAUGUUAUAGGAAUAACCACUACUCUUUACUGGUCUCUUGCUACAUGCCUGACAGAGAGCGCCGAGAGGGAAAGGGAAUGGUGCAUGACGGAACAAAGAGGAGCUGGUGACAGACAAGGAGCAUGGUCACCAAACUUAGAAGCCACCUCCUGUUCUAAAUGGUCUGAUGGGAAGAUUUCUAUGUUUGGUGACUAAUCACAGAUGGAUUGAGACAAUUCGUUCCCAUUGAGCUGCUUACGAACAAGCACAAUUAGAAGUUGACAGCAAACACGCUUCACAAAAAUUAUCACAUUUAGUGUGAUUCCCAUAAUAAAAACA